UACGAAGGGGGCUAGCGUUGUUCGGAAUUACUGGGCGUAAAGCGUGCGCAGGCGGCUUCUCAAGUCAGGGGUGAAAGCCCAGAGCUCAACUCUGGAAUUGCCUUUGAGACUGAGUGGCUUGAGUACGAGAGAGGUGAGUGGAAUUCCCAGUGUAGAGGUGAAAUUCGUAGAUAUUGGGAAGAACACCGGUGGCGAAGGCGGCUCACUGGCUCGUAACUGACGCUCAUGCACGACAGCGUGGGGAGCAAACGGG
RNAcentral lists this ribosomal RNA (253 nucleotides) under uncultured bacterium. RNAcentral describes it as "partial 16S ribosomal RNA". It matches the Rfam family "Bacterial small subunit ribosomal RNA", at positions 524 to 776 of the family's 1533-position model. The record is from RNAcentral.